GAUUGGCGUUCCCCUUCGGGGGACAGGGUGACAGGUGGUGCAUUGGGUUGUCGUCAGCUCGUGUCGUGAGAUGUUCGGGUUAAGUCCCGCAACGAGCGCAACCCUCGCCUCUAGUUGCCAGCAUUCGGUUGGGCACUCUAGAGGGACUGCCGGCGACAAGUCGGAGGAAGGUGGGAUGACGUCAAAUCAUCAUGCCCCUUAUGACCUGGGCUACACACGUGCUACAAUGGGCGGUACAAAGGGCUGCGAACCCGCGAGAGUAUGCUAAAUCUCAAAAAGCCAUCCUCAGUUCGGAUUGGAGUCAGCAACUCGACUCCAUGAAGUUGGAAUCGCUAGUAAUCGCGGAUCAGCAUGCCGCGGUGAAUACCGUUCCCGGGCCUU
RNAcentral lists this ribosomal RNA (381 nucleotides) under uncultured Geobacillus sp. Its description in RNAcentral is "bacterial SSU rRNA". It matches the Rfam family "Bacterial small subunit ribosomal RNA", at positions 1005 to 1382 of the family's 1533-position model. The record is from RNAcentral. Lineage: Bacteria; Bacillati; Bacillota; Bacilli; Caryophanales; Anoxybacillaceae.